AGCAGCCGCGGUAAUUCCAGCUCCAAUAGCGUAUAUUAAAGUUGUUGCAGUUAAAAGCUCGUAGUUGAAUUUCGGGAUCAGUGGGUUGGUCAUGCCACUGGUAUGUACUGGCUCUACUGGUUCCUCCUUCUUGAAGAACUGUAAUGCCAUUAAUUUGGUGUUGCAGGGAAACAGGACUGUUAACUUUAGAAAAAUUGAGUGUUUAAAGCAGGCAAUCGCUUGAAUACAUUAGCAUGGAAUAAUGAAAUAGGACGUUCGAUUCCUAUUUUGUUGGUUUCUAGGAUUGACGUAAUGAUUAAUAGGGAUAGUUGGGGCAUUAGUA
Molecule: unclassified non-coding RNA, 322 nt
Filed under: uncultured Glomus
Lineage: Eukaryota; Fungi; Glomeromycota; Glomeromycetes; Glomerales; Glomeraceae
Description: SSU rRNA
Rfam family: Eukaryotic small subunit ribosomal RNA
Source: RNAcentral